AGCGAACGUUAGCGGCAGGCCUAACACAUGCAAGUCGCGCGAGAAUGGGGCUUCGGCUCCUAGUAAAGCGGCGGACGGGUGAGUAACACGUGGAUAAUCUGCCCUUCGGCGGGGGACGAACAGUCCGAAAGGAUUGCUAAUACCGCGUAAGUCGGCGAGGUCUUCGGAUCUUGUCGGGAAAGAUGGCCUCUUCAUGAAAGCUAUCACCGAAGGAUGAGUCCGCGUCCCAUCAGCUAGUUGGCGGUGUAAGAGACCACCAAGGCUAAGACGGGUAGCUGGUCUGAGAGGAUGAUCAGCCACA
This 301-nucleotide ribosomal RNA is filed under the name uncultured bacterium. Its description in RNAcentral is "bacterial SSU rRNA". It matches the Rfam family "Bacterial small subunit ribosomal RNA", at positions 29 to 312 of the family's 1533-position model. The record is from RNAcentral.